ACUUUUAAAGGAUAGAAGCAAUCCGUUAGUCUUAGGAACUAAAAACUUGGUGCAACUCCAAAUAAAAGUA
Fukomys damarensis (Damara mole-rat) is the source of this 70-nucleotide non-coding RNA. The record is from Ensembl. Lineage: Eukaryota; Metazoa; Chordata; Mammalia; Rodentia; Bathyergidae.